GAACGAUAACGGCGUCGAGCGGCGGACGGGUGAGUAAUGCCUAGGAAAUUGCCCUGAUGUGGGGGAUAACCAUUGGAAACGAUGGCUAAUACCGCAUGAUGCCUACGGGCCAAAGAGGGGGACCUUCGGGCCUCUCGCGUCAGGAUAUGCCUAGGUGGGAUUAGCUAGUUGGUGAGGUAAGGGCUCACCAAGGCGACGAUCCCUAGCUGGUCUGAGAGGAUGAUCAGCCACACUGGAACUGAGACACGGUCCAGACUCCUACGGGAGGCAGCAGUGGGGAAUAUUGCACAAUGGGCGCAAGCCUGAUGCAGCCAUGCCGCGUGUGUGAAGAAGGCCUUCGGGUUGUAAAGCACUUUCAGUCGUGAGGAAGGUAGUGUAGUUAAUAGCUGCAUUAUUUGACGUUAGCGACAGAAGAAGCACCGGCUAACUCCGUGCCAGCAGCCGCGGUAAUACGGAGGGUGCGAGCGUUAAUCGGAAUUACUGGGCGUAAAGCGCAUGCAGGUGGUUUGUUAAGUCAGAUGUGAAAGCCCGGGGCUCAACCUCGGAAUUGCAUUUGAAACUGGCAGACUAGAGUACUGUAGAGGGGGGUAGAAUUUCAGGUGUAGCGGUGAAAUGCGUAGAGAUCUGAAGGAAUACCGGUGGCGAAGGCGGCCCCCUGGACAGAUACUGACACUCAGAUGCGAAAGCGUGGGGAGCAAACAGGAUUAGAUACCCUGGUAGUCCACGCCGUAAACGAUGUCUACUUGGAGGUUGUGGCCUUGAGCCGUGGCUUUCGGAGCUAACGCGUUAAGUAGACCGCCUGGGGAGUACGGUCGCAAGAUUAAAACUCAAAUGAAUUGACGGGGGCCCGCACAAGCGGUGGAGCAUGUGGUUUAAUUCGAUGCAACGCGAAGAA
This 895-nucleotide ribosomal RNA is filed under the name Vibrio parahaemolyticus. RNAcentral's name for it is "bacterial SSU rRNA". It matches the Rfam family "Bacterial small subunit ribosomal RNA", at positions 77 to 968 of the family's 1533-position model. Lineage: Bacteria; Pseudomonadati; Pseudomonadota; Gammaproteobacteria; Vibrionales; Vibrionaceae. The record is from RNAcentral.